CUCAUCUGGACACGCUCUAAUCAGCCAAGAUGGGCACGGGUCAAGAGGACAGGUGGUGGGCUUUCCAGCUCGGAGGAGUCUGUCCACAUCGGCUGGGGAUAUCCGGUCAAAGUGGUCCAAUACUGGACCCAAGGACAGUCGAGGGGCCUCCAGUUCCUUUAUUGUAUCCAAAUUGGCAGGGAGGUCAUGGCGGAGCAACAGG
Non-coding RNA from Podarcis lilfordi (Lilford's wall lizard), 202 nucleotides. The record is from the annotation of a GenBank genome assembly. Lineage: Eukaryota; Metazoa; Chordata; Lepidosauria; Squamata; Lacertidae.